GAUGAAGAACGCAGCGAAAUGCGAUACUUGGUGUGAAUUGCAGAAUCCCGUGAACCAUCGAGUCUUUGAACGCAAGUUGCGCCUCAAGCCAUUAGGUUGAGGGCACGUCUGCCUGGGCGUCACAUAUCGUUGCCUGAUGCCAGUUUCCUCGUGAUGGGUGACUGUGUAGGGCGAAUGAUGGCUUCCCGUGAGCAUUGUUGCCUCAUGGUUGGUUGAAAAUUGAGUCCUUGGUAGGGAGCGCCGUGAUAGAUGGUGGUUGAGUGACGAACGAGACCCAAUCAUGUGAGACCCCUACCGAAUUUGGCCUUCAUGACCCACAUGCGUCUUUGGAACGCUCAUGACGAGACCUCAGGUCAGGCGGGGCUACCCGCUGAGUUUAAGCAUAUCAAUAAGCGGAGGA
Molecule: unclassified non-coding RNA, 400 nt
Filed under: soil metagenome
Description: partial contains 5.8S ribosomal RNA, internal transcribed spacer 2, and large subunit ribosomal RNA
Rfam family: 5.8S ribosomal RNA (bases 1-122)
Source: RNAcentral